RNAcentral lists this ribosomal RNA (465 nucleotides) under uncultured Klebsiella sp. Its description in RNAcentral is "bacterial SSU rRNA". It matches the Rfam family "Bacterial small subunit ribosomal RNA", at positions 338 to 795 of the family's 1533-position model. Lineage: Bacteria; Pseudomonadati; Pseudomonadota; Gammaproteobacteria; Enterobacterales; Enterobacteriaceae. The record is from RNAcentral.
CCUACGGGAGGCUGCAGUGGGGAAUAUUGCACAAUGGGCGCAAGCCUGAUGCAGCCAUGCCGCGUGUGUGAAGAAGGCCUUCGGGUUGUAAAGCACUUUCAGCGGGGAGGAAGGCGGUGAGGUUAAUAACCUCAUCGAUUGACGUUACCCGCAGAAGAAGCACCGGCUAACUCCGUGCCAGCAGCCGCGGUAAUACGGAGGGUGCAAGCGUUAAUCGGAAUUACUGGGCGUAAAGCGCACGCAGGCGGUCUGUCAAGUCGGAUGUGAAAUCCCCGGGCUCAACCUGGGAACUGCAUUCGAAACUGGCAGGCUAGAGUCUUGUAGAGGGGGGUAGAAUUCCAGGUGUAGCGGUGAAAUGCGUAGAGAUCUGGAGGAAUACCGGUGCCGAAGGCGGCCCCCUGGACAAAGACUGACGCUCAGGUGCGAAAGCGUGGGGAGCAAACAGGAUUAGAUACCCUAGUAGUC